Brienomyrus brachyistius is the source of this 548-nucleotide long non-coding RNA. RefSeq lists it as uncharacterized. The transcript is spliced from 4 exons. Lineage: Eukaryota; Metazoa; Chordata; Actinopteri; Osteoglossiformes; Mormyridae. The record is from RefSeq and is a predicted model, not a curated record.
GGGUAGCAUGCAGAGGAUUGACACGUGUUCUCUUUGCUGUCCUGCACGCAGCCUGGCUAAUCCAGUGCUAAGCCAGCAGUCAGUAUCCCAGGUCAGUGCUGGAUGCAGUAUAGCUUGCCAAGCUAGCAGUCAGUAUCCCAGGUCUGUGCUGGAUGCAGUGUAGCUUGGCAAGCUAGCAGUCAGUAUCCCAGGUCAGUGCUGGAUGCAGUGUAGCUUGCCAAGCUAGCAGUCAGUAUCCCAAGUCAGUGCUGGAUGCAGUGUAGAUUCCCAAGCUAGCAGUCAGUAUCCCAGGUCUGUGCUGGAUGCAGUGUAGCUUGGCAAGCUAGCAGUCAGUAUCCCAAGUCAGUGCUGGAUGCAGUGUAGAUUCCCAAGCUAGCAGUCAGUAUCCCAGGUCAGUGCUGGAUGCAGUGUAGCUUGCCAAGCUAGCAGUCAGUAUCCCAGGUCAGUGCUGGAUGCAGUGUAGCUUGCCAAGCUAGCAGUCAUAUCCCAGGUCAGUGCUGGAUGCAGUGUAGCUUGCCAAGCUAGCAGUCAUAUCCCAGGUCAGUGCU